GCUUACGGCCAUACCACCCUGAACACGCCCGAUCUCGAAGCUAAGCAGGGUCGCGGCCUGGUUAGUACUUGAUGGGAGACCGCCUGGGAAUACCAGGUGCUGUAAGCU
Molecule: ribosomal RNA, 108 nt
Filed under: Labrus bergylta (ballan wrasse)
Lineage: Eukaryota; Metazoa; Chordata; Actinopteri; Labriformes; Labridae
Source: RNAcentral